UACGGGGGGAGCAAGCGUUGUUCGGAUUUACUGGGCGUAAAGGGCGCGUAGGCGGUCGUGACAAGUCACUUGUGAAAUCUCCGGGCUUAACUCGGAACGGUCAAGUGAUACUGUCGGACUAGAGUACAGAAGGGGCAACUGGAAUUCUCGGUGUAGCGGUGAAAUGCGUAGAUAUCGAGAGGAACACCUGCGGCGAAGGCGGGUUGCUGGGCUGAUACUGACGCUGAGGCGCGAUAGCGUGGGGAGCAAACGGG
RNAcentral lists this ribosomal RNA (254 nucleotides) under uncultured bacterium. RNAcentral describes it as "partial 16S ribosomal RNA". It matches the Rfam family "Bacterial small subunit ribosomal RNA", at positions 524 to 776 of the family's 1533-position model. The record is from RNAcentral.